Molecule: long non-coding RNA, 480 nt
Organism: Arabidopsis lyrata subsp. lyrata
Lineage: Eukaryota; Viridiplantae; Streptophyta; Magnoliopsida; Brassicales; Brassicaceae
Exons: 2
Source: RefSeq, a predicted model, not a curated record
AAAAUAAAUAAUUUCCUAAAACAAUUACAGAACCUAAUAACUGUUGUAGACUUUUUAGGAAAAUAAUUACGUAAAUAUAUAACUUAAAGAUAACAAUUACUCAUCAAAUCUUUUUUUUUUUGUUAAUAUUGUAUCAUAACAAGACCUAAAUCAAUGGACUACUUAUUCUCUAUAUAUAAGUGAGGUUAUUUAGUCAUCAAAUCAAUGUGCAUGGUUCCACUCUCGCCGUCCCUCAGCUCUGCAAAUCAUUUGCUUCAUUUUCUACAUGUCUUGGACUAAGCCUCACGUUGAAUUGAGGAGCUUCCCAGUGUAUUCGGAAACUGGUCCUUCUACGUUACCUUAAUCUACAUGUUUUUGUGUUUGGACAAAUGAGGAAAUGAUUCUGAUUUUUAUUUUUUUGGUAUAUUGGUUCAUGUUUGAGUGUGAAAAUAUUUGCAGGGUUAACCAUAAUCCGUUGUAGCUUCUUAAUAUUGAUUUGGA